UAAGGAAUAUUGGUCAAUGGACGCAAGUCUGAACCAGCCAUGCCGCGUGAAGGAUGAAGGUCCUCUGGAUUGUAAACUUCUUUUAUCUGGGACGAAACACUCCUUUUCUAAGGGGCCUGACGGUACCAGAGGAAUAAGCACCGGCUAACUCCGUGCCAGCAGCCGCGGUAAUACGGAGGGUGCAAGCGUUAUCCGGAUUCACUGGGUUUAAAGGGUGCGUAGGUGGGUAUGUAAGUCAGAGGUGAAAUCCCCGAGCUUAACUUGGGAACUGCCUUUGAUACUAUAUGUCUUGAAUGUCGUAGAGGUUAGCGGAAUAUGUCAUGUAGCGGUGAAAUGCUUAGAUAUGACAUAGAACACCAAUUGCGAAGGCAGCUAGCUAUGCGAUUAUUGACGCUGAGGCACGAAAGCGUGGGUAGCAAACAGG
RNAcentral lists this ribosomal RNA (424 nucleotides) under uncultured bacterium. Its description in RNAcentral is "bacterial SSU rRNA". It matches the Rfam family "Bacterial small subunit ribosomal RNA", at positions 355 to 776 of the family's 1533-position model. The record is from RNAcentral.